UACUAAUAAUAACUUCACGUUGCACGGGUUUAAAUUGUGUACUUUUACCAAUUAUUAUUUCUUGGAAAAGUUGUAUAAUAGACUCUAAAAAUGCAACAGAUUCUUCAAAUUUUUUUUUUUUAAAUUCAUCACUUGGAGUUUGCCUCAAUGCAACUUUUUGAGUUUGUGAGGUUAUUAACGCAAACCAUAGACAUAGGAUCUAUAGACCUUCGAGGAGUGGAGGCGUGAAAAACUAGAAAGAGAUAGCAAGCUUUGGACCACUAUUCUGUCUUUGUCUAAUGACGCACGUGGGAAAUCUUCACUUGUUUUACAAGUGAGGACUCCAGCUAACCUAAGUAAAGUAAUAUAAUCUAAGUAAAAAAUAACAUUAAAGUCAGCACAAUGAGUUGAUAUUGUUGUGUGUGCCACAAUGAACAAUAUAAAACUGAUGAGCCUAUUAUUUUCCAUUGUUUUCCAGAUCAGAUCCAGAUACACGAAAAAAGUGGUUAAAAAUCAUAAAAUGCGAUCGAAGGCAACUUUUGAGAAAAGAUGCUGUCCCAAAUAUAAAUAUUCUUCAAUUAGAUGCAAAAGUUCAGCUUAUUAGAAAUGAGAAACACUAAAUUUAAAACUACACUAAUUUUGAAGAAGCAAUAUCAAGAUGAGAUAAAAUAAACUUUUUAAAUCAUCACUAUCUUGAGACCCACUGAGGAGAAUUUUACAAAUUUUACAUGACAAAUGACUCUUGCGCCUUAUCUACAACACCAACAAAAAGACAUUGCACUUUACAGGAGUUUUGGGCUUUUUAGAAGAGAAGAUUUUACAGAUGAAAUUGUAUGGAAUCGAUUUGUGGCAGUAUGCAAAGGCUUAAGAAAAGAAAACAUGCUUUUGUAAUAUAAAAAUAAGCGUCUUCUUAAUCAAAUUCAAACAACAAAAGAUAUUAUUCAGGAGUUAAAAAAAAAGAACUUAAUAACAGAUUCUGUAUCAGAGAUGUUGAGCGUAAGUUAAGAAAACGAUGGUCCACAUUCUGAUCUUUUUAUCGCUAAGAG
Solenopsis invicta (red fire ant) is the source of this 1025-nucleotide long non-coding RNA. RefSeq lists it as uncharacterized. The transcript is spliced from 3 exons. NCBI's taxonomy places the organism in Eukaryota, Metazoa, Arthropoda, Insecta, Hymenoptera, Formicidae. The record is from RefSeq and is a predicted model, not a curated record.